This 428-nucleotide ribosomal RNA is filed under the name Gemmatimonadota bacterium. Its description in RNAcentral is "Gemmatimonadetes bacterium partial 16S ribosomal RNA". It matches the Rfam family "Bacterial small subunit ribosomal RNA", at positions 355 to 776 of the family's 1533-position model. The record is from RNAcentral. Lineage: Bacteria; Pseudomonadati; Gemmatimonadota.
UAGGGAAUCUUCGGCAAUGGACGAAAGUCUGACCGAGCAACGCCGCGUGAGUGAAGAAGGUUUUCGGAUCGUAAAACUCUGUUGUUAGAGAAGAACAAGGACGUUAGUAACUGAACGUCCCCUGACGGUAUCUAACCAGAAAGCCACGGCUAACUACGUGCCAGCAGCCGCGGUAAUACGUAGGUGGCAAGCGUUGCCGGAUUUAUUGGGCGUAAAGCGAGCGCAGGCGGGUUCUUAAGGCUGAUGUGAAAGCCCCCGGCUCAACCGGGGAGGGUCAUUGGAAACUGGGAGACUUGAGUGCAGAAGAGGAGAGUGGAAUUCCAUGUGUAGCGGUGAAAUGCGUAGAUAUAUGGAGGAACACCAGUGGCGAAGGCGGCUCUCUGGUCUGUAACUGACGCUGAGGCUCGAAAGCGUGGGGAGCAAACAGG